UAGGGAAUCUUCCACAAUGGACGAAAGUCUGACGGAGCAACGCCGCGUGAGUGAAGAAGGGUUUCGGCUCGUAAAACUCUGUUGUUAAAGAAGAACAUAUCUGAGAGUAACUGUUCAGGUAUUGACGGUAUUUAACCAGAAAGCCACGGCUAACUACGUGUCAG
This 164-nucleotide ribosomal RNA is filed under the name uncultured bacterium. RNAcentral describes it as "partial 16S ribosomal RNA". It matches the Rfam family "Bacterial small subunit ribosomal RNA", at positions 355 to 511 of the family's 1533-position model. The record is from RNAcentral.